UAUCUCUUUGCAUUUACAUAACAAAAUAUGGUUUAGAAUGAAAAUUACAUUAAUAAUUUUGCAAAAUAUACUCACUAAAGCAAUUUGGGAUCAGUUGGUCGAUGGUUGAAUCACCAAGUAUGAAUAAAUUCACAGUAAGAGUGGAUGUCAAAUCCAAAGAUUUCAUCAUCAUAUCCCAAUGUUGCAAACUGAAAAUUCAAUAUAAUGAAAACAAAAAGAAACCAG
Molecule: long non-coding RNA, 225 nt
Filed under: Medicago truncatula (barrel medic)
Lineage: Eukaryota; Viridiplantae; Streptophyta; Magnoliopsida; Fabales; Fabaceae
Description: lncRNA gene2304
Source: RNAcentral